GCUGAGCGUUGUAAUCUAGAGAAGUGUUUUCGGUCGCUGCCCCGGAAAAGUCCCUUGGAACAGGGCGUCAUAGAGGGUGAGAAUCCCGUCUUUGCCGGACUAACAGCGUCUAUGUGAUACACUCUCGAAGAGUCGAGUUGUUUGGGAAUGCAGCUCAAAAUGGGUGGUAAAUUCCAUCUAAAGCUAAAUAUUGGUGGGAGACCGAUAGCGAACAAGUACCGUGAGGGAAAGAUGAAA
This 237-nucleotide ribosomal RNA is filed under the name Dendrodacrys kennedyae. RNAcentral describes it as "Dendrodacrys sp. AS-2022b partial large subunit ribosomal RNA". It matches the Rfam family "Eukaryotic large subunit ribosomal RNA", at positions 135 to 369 of the family's 3401-position model. Lineage: Eukaryota; Fungi; Basidiomycota; Dacrymycetes; Dacrymycetales; Dacrymycetaceae. The record is from RNAcentral.